This 1165-nucleotide long non-coding RNA is filed under the name Arabidopsis lyrata. RNAcentral describes it as "long non-coding RNA (ALYR_LNC000944)". The record is from RNAcentral. Lineage: Eukaryota; Viridiplantae; Streptophyta; Magnoliopsida; Brassicales; Brassicaceae.
CCGAACAUUCCGAGAUUAAUGGCCAAAGAGCCAUCAUCUCGAGGGGGCGUAUUAGGACAUAAUGUCCCACAUCGGAAGUUGGAAGGGAUCCUAAGUAAUAUAUAAGAGAUAUGGGCCACUCCACUCAUUGCCAAUUGGUUUUGAGUUAUUAGGACAUAAUGUCCCACAUCGGAAGUUGGAAGGGAUCAUAAGUAAUAUAUAAGGGAUAUGGGCCACUCCACUCAUUGCCAAUUGGUUUUGAGUUGGAAGCCCAUAUUCUAAUAUGGUAUCAGAGCCCGAUCCACACAUGUCCAACCCGAUCCGACCCAAAGAUGGUCCAAUCAUCGACAAGGCCCAAAAUUGAUGCCGUCGAUCUAAGCCCGAACAUUCCGAGAUUAAUGGCCAAAAGAGCCAUCAUCUCGAGGGGGGGCGUAUUAGGACAUAAUGUCUCACAUCGGAAGUUGGAAGGGAUCCUAAGUAAUAUAUAAGGGAUAUGGACCACUCCACUUAUUGCCAAUUGGUUUUGAGUUAGAAGCCCAUAUUCUAAUAAUUACUACUUAUUGUUUUAUGGGCAUCAAAUUUUACUCCGGUUUGGUUAUUAUGUUUACAUCGAUUUCCAUUUCUGAUUACCAUUUGGUAUUUGAUUGAAUCAAUCUUUUCGUUCAACAUCUUCGUGACACUCUUCACAAACAGACUAGGAUUUAUUUCAUAUUUGUACUUGCAAAAUGUAUAUAUACAGAUUGAUACAAUUUCGUAUUGAACUAUUUUGGUUUUUCCUUGCAAACAUUAUGUAAGGCUGCACCAUGAACAACUACAGCUUUGGUGUUCCCGAAAUUUGAUGGAACCUUGUUGCGUGAGUGGAUCCACGACUGUGAACAAAUUUUUCUACCUUCAUAACACACCACAUAAACAGAAGUCUCGUCUUGCCUCUCUCUAUAUGGAAGAUGAAGCUCUCCAUUUUUUUUGCCAACAGCUCACGUUCUUGACAUAUUCUUGACUAAAACUCCCUCCGUUUCGUUUUCCUUGUCGUUUUAGAGUUAAAAUUUUGUUUCAUAAUAGUUGUCGUUUUAGGUUUUCGAUGCAAAUGUUUUGUGAAAAUUCCAGUUUUAUCCCUACUGUUUUAAUGUUUCGGCCAAUGAAUUUUUUUUAUAAAAUAUAUUAAUAAAGAGUAAAACAGAAAAUUUAA